CGGUGCGCGGGGCGGCCGUGAGGGGAGGAGGCGCCGCGGCCCCCCUGCCCCGUCCCCUUCCCUUCCCGCCCGGCUCCGCUUCUCUUCUCGCUGGAAGCCACGGGCGCUUCCUUGUGAGCGCGGUGCCGUGCGGGCACCUGUGCGUCCCUCUGUCAGAGCAGAGCUUGGUAUUGCUGAGGGCAGCACUGACAUCCCCACACAUCCCCACACACAGAGCCGGGAGCUCGGUGCUGAGCAGCGAGUCACCCGCUUUGUGACGGCCUGAGUGGCUGCUGAGGAAAUCCAUCGUAUUUCAUCCUGUUUCAUCAGCAUCCCCCCGCCAGCCCCUGCUCUGUGUGCACUCGCACAAGGAUAACAUAACCAGGGUGAGAAAAGCUUUCUGAAAACACUGCAGCUGCAGAGAAUGGAAGCUGUUCUGAAGUGUUAGAAAAGAAAGUCACAAAAGAUGGAGUCCACAUGGUCCCCUUGUGGUUCAGACUGACUGAAGAAAGACUGAAGACUUUAUCCCCUCAGAAAAGCAGCUGGGGCAACAUGCAGCAUUUACACCAAAAGUGAAAUUUUUAAACCAUGUAGAAAACAGUGGAAAGAAGCCAAAUUUCCUAUCAGAAGAACACAGUAAAGAAAGAGGGUUUGUGAUUGUCUGUCCUUGCCUGAAGAACCUGGGGGAUAUAGGAUUUGGCACGCAGUCAUGGCCUGAGAGGCAGUAACAGCAGAUGGAUCACCUUGGCUGUGCGGCAGUUGCCUUGUCCUUGCUUGCAGUGAGACCUUGUGGUGCAAGGAUAGAAUGUUCCUGUCAAUCCAGCAGAUGUUCCAGCAUGUCCUCCAUAUAAAAUAGGCCUAGGAAUGCUAUUUCCUCCACACCCAUAAAUUACUUAUUCCCAUGGAGUGUGACUUCUGUUUUUAAUCACUUACUUAAACUAGAUACAGCCGUGCUAAGUUUAAUAAAUAGGCAUUUUAUAUUUUAUUUAUAUAAUAGGCAUUUUAUAUUUUAAUAAAUAGGCAUUGUAUCGAGCUGCUGAAAACCUGCUGGGCUGAAAGCAUGGGCUGAAGGUGGAGCUGGGGGCAGCCAGGUUGGGUGGUGAGGGCUCAGAGUGAUCCUAUGCAGUUCAUGUCUUUUAGAGACUUUAUGGAAAGAAAUGGAGAAAUUUUAGGCCUAAACAUUUCUCUUUUGGCAGUUAAUUCCUACUGCAUCUUGAGAUGGAGUAGUGUCUCUAAGCCGUUUGUAAAUAUUUAAAAUACCUUCUCCUCUUUGCUAUGUGACUGCAGCAGACUGUCCCUUAUCCUGGGAGAUAAAGGCAUGCUGGCUGCAGUGGAAGAUAAUGCUUCCCAGGGAGUUUGUGUGUCAUUGCACAAUCAAUGGUCUUGCAAGGUCCUUGGGGUGUGAUUAUCUUAAGUUUCAGCUCGAAGGUGCAGUGGUGUAACUACUAAAGUAAAACUGCAAUAGGGCAAAUUUUAAGAUGUAGGUAUUUUAUACUAAAAAGUGUAUUUUUAUUAAUUUAGCAUCUUCCCUAUCUGUCCCAUAGUCCAGUGCAAAUUUAAUCCCUGGAGCAGUGCCUGGUUUGUCUUCAGCUCCAGAGCAAGCAGAGGUAACCAGCCAAGAGCAAGCACCCCACAGCAAAGGGGAACAAAAGACAUUGCAGCCAAGCCUGGCAAAUGCAGCUCCUGCUGGAAUGGCUGGGUGGUCAACAGCAUCUAGGGAAACACAUGGCUCCAGCUGACCUCUCUGCUGUGCAGCUGAUGGGAGGGACUUUGUGCUGGUGGAAAAUACAUUGUGUUUCAAACUGCCAGCGCUGGAGUCCCCUGCAGGAUCUGAAUGGAGUCCUGACAAAUAUUUUGUUAGAGUUAUUUACUGUUACCUCUGGAAUAAGCAUUAUAAUGUAUCUAGCAGUGCCGAGUUCUUAUCAGCAGGACUAGAAUAGGAAAGAAGUGCAGUUUAAUUCCAGCCAAUGAAAUUUCAGCAGCAGUAAGUCAGGGACUGACUGACUUCACUAAAGACUACCCCAAAAGCAAUCUAAGGCACUGUCUGUUCUUAGGCUGCACUAGAUCCCUCUGUGCACCUCAGUUUUGAAAGCCUCCACAGGAACAGUGCAGAUUUGGGUGCUCCUCAUGUACAACCCUGAAUCCUUGUCAAGGCAAGAGAAGGUGGCUAGGAAUAUGCAAAUUUAAUUCAGCAUUAAUUCAGCUUCAGCAUUACCUAAGUCAGUGUCUUGCUAUUUAAGAAUGGUGUGUUAAGGGUAAAGGAAAUAUAAUUUGUCAAAGGGAAAACUCAAGAUCUGGGUGUGAUAGUGUGCUAAUCAGUAAAGAAAUUUAAUUUAAGAUCAGCAUCAGCCCCACUUCUGCCUGAUUAACUGCUGGGGAAAGUUUUUUUUUUAUUUUCUAUUGGCAAAGUUUAGUGAGUGAUAAGCGAGAAUAACCAUUAAUUCUUACCUGCUUCAUCUGGGAACUGCAUGAUUCUGUUACAGCACAGACAUGACUAAUAGCAAGCUCCUUCCAACUGCUGGGGGACAGGCUGUUUGUGUGCCUUAACUUUUCAGUGUUUCAGGGUCUUCAGACAGGACUUAGAAGAACCCAUGCUAUCUCACAUUGGAGUCCAAUGUGCAAGGGAGCUGGCUACAAGUCCUCAGCAAGAUUGCAUCUGUCUGGUAACCCUUUUAAGCUCAUUUCAUACAAACUUGGUGAAAAUAACAUACUACUACCAUUGAAUGUUACAGAGAGCUCAUUACAAUUGAGACUCAGUUUCACUGAGCAGCAGCAGAAACUGAGACAGAAGCAGAACAGUUUUAUAAGUUUAUUGUAAAGACCUUUACAAUCUCAGUACAGAGAUAAGGAUAUAAAAUGAUGCUGCUUAGAAUUAAGGCUGGUUGGUGGUCAUCCAAAUUUCACUGUUCAAUGGAACUCAAGCAAGAGCAACUGGUUUCUGACUGUACAUAUUUUUAUUUGUGUUCCAUCAUUACAGUGAGAUCACAAGUUAUUUCAAAGACUCAAUGCCUGUUUAUUAUAAAAUAAAGGACAUUAUUUACAUGAUGAAAGAAAAAUUUCAGCAUUUUAGUG
Molecule: long non-coding RNA, 3051 nt
Organism: Taeniopygia guttata (zebra finch)
Lineage: Eukaryota; Metazoa; Chordata; Aves; Passeriformes; Estrildidae
Source: RefSeq, a predicted model, not a curated record